AUGCGCAGGUGCCUGUGCGCCUGCGCAGACCCCAGGGGACAAGAGGGGGGGGUGUGCUCCGCCUCGUGCGACCGUGUCACCUUGCCGCUCACCUGUCAGAGGGCGCCCUGCUCCAGAGAUCUGAGGGAUCGUCCCAGAGUGAGGCCAGGAUGGCAGGCUCCUGCGUGUGUCUACUCCUACUGCACCUCUCAUGCUCGGAGGGAACCCAGAGUGGAAUCCUGCUCCUCACGUCAAGGUGAUAAACACAGCUGCCCUGUCUGCAGGACAUGGAUAGCCUCUAUGAAAGCAAAGUAUGUACACCCUCAUGAAGUUCUGGCCCGUGUGUGUGUGUGUGUGUGUGUGUGUGUGUAUAAAUGUUUCAAGUUUUUUUUAUGUUUCUAGUUAAUGUAUAGUAUAAUAUUAGUUUCAGGAGUAGAAUUUAGUGAUUCAUGACAUAUAUAACACGCAUUUCUCAUCAUAACAAGUGCCCUCCUUAAUGCCCAUCACCCAUUUAACCUGUCCCCUUUGCCUGUCUCCCCUCAAGAGACCCUCAGUUUGUUC
Molecule: long non-coding RNA, 540 nt
Organism: Vulpes vulpes (red fox)
Lineage: Eukaryota; Metazoa; Chordata; Mammalia; Carnivora; Canidae
Source: Ensembl